This 565-nucleotide ribosomal RNA is filed under the name uncultured bacterium. RNAcentral's name for it is "bacterial SSU rRNA". It matches the Rfam family "Bacterial small subunit ribosomal RNA", at positions 338 to 916 of the family's 1533-position model. The record is from RNAcentral.
CCUACGGGAGGCAGCAGUGGGGAAUAUUGGACAAUGGGGGGCAACCCUGAUCCAGCAAUGCCGCGUGAGUGAUGAAGGCCUUCGGGUUGUAAAGCUCUUUCACCCACGACGAUGAUGACGGUAGUGGGAGAAGAAGCCCCGGCUAACUUCGUGCCAGCAGCCGCGGUAAUACGAAGGGGGGCUAGCGUUGUUCGGAGUUACUGGGCGUAAAGGGCGCGUAGGCGGCCUGGUCAGUCUGGUGUGAAAGCCCGGGGCUCAACCCCGGAAUUGCGCUGGAGACGGCCAAGCUUGAGUGUGGGAGAGGAUGGUGGAAUUCCCAGUGUAGAGGUGAAAUUCGUAGAUAUUGGGAAGAACACCGGUGGCGAAGGCGGCCAUCUGGACCAUUACUGACGCUGAGGCGCGAAAGCGUGGGGAGCAAACAGGAUUAGAUACCCUGGUAGUCCACGCCGUAAACGAUGAGUGCUAGACGUCGGGGCCCUUAGGGCUUCGGUGUCGCAGCUAACGCAUUAAGCACUCCGCCUGGGGGAGUACGGGCCGCAAGGUUAAAACUCAAAGGAAUUGACGG